RNAcentral lists this ribosomal RNA (113 nucleotides) under Paracoccus pantotrophus. Its description in RNAcentral is "16S rRNA. Bacterial SSU". It matches the Rfam family "Bacterial small subunit ribosomal RNA", at positions 1 to 124 of the family's 1533-position model. Lineage: Bacteria; Pseudomonadati; Pseudomonadota; Alphaproteobacteria; Rhodobacterales; Paracoccaceae. The record is from RNAcentral.
UUCAACUUGAGAGUUUGAUCCUGGCUCAGAACGAACGCUGGCGGCAGGCCUAACACAUGCAAGUCGAGCGCACCUUCGGGUGAGCGGCGGACGGGUGAGUAACGCGUGGGAAU